UAGUAUAGUUGUUGGUCAAAAAUAGUGAUCUUUCUGCUGUACUGUAAGAGUACGAAUUUUAAUGUUAGGGCCUUGAACCAUGUGUUGUUAUAGGUAGUAGUGACGAGAUAACAAGUCUUAAGCAGCGGGAUUUGAGGAUCUUAUCCUCAACAAGAAAAUUCAUUGAGGUGCUUGGAGUAGCAAGAAGGUGUUCUUAACAACUGAGGUAAAGACAAAACUAAGCAGUGAGGAUGGCGAGCUCGAGACGUGGAUUACAUGUUAGGGGAUUGUCACGAUGUUUUGGUUUAAAAAUAUUUCAUUAAAGAUUAUGAUUCAAAUAGUUUUUGUAAAGGUUUAUAUUUUAAGGUUAUGAAUAAAUAAAUGUUUUGUUUUAAAAAUAA
Long non-coding RNA from Cannabis sativa, 380 nucleotides. RefSeq lists it as uncharacterized. The transcript is spliced from 2 exons. The record is from RefSeq and is a predicted model, not a curated record. NCBI's taxonomy places the organism in Eukaryota, Viridiplantae, Streptophyta, Magnoliopsida, Rosales, Cannabaceae.